RNAcentral lists this long non-coding RNA (347 nucleotides) under Homo sapiens (human). RNAcentral describes it as "non-protein coding lnc-PLA2G2D-2:1". Lineage: Eukaryota; Metazoa; Chordata; Mammalia; Primates; Hominidae. The record is from RNAcentral.
GAGAUUUGGUGGCAUACGUGGAGAAGCAGGACUUGAUAUAACCUAGACAUGGCCUUUGAUCCUUCCAAAGUGCUGGAAUUACAGGUGUGAGCCACCACGGCCAGACUUAAUCUGGUUUCUUCUUUAAAAUGACAUUGAUGCUCUUGAACCCAGACCAGUUGUCUUGCAGAAUACUCACCAAUUUGGAUUUGCCUAUUGCUUCCUCAUGAUUAUCAGGUUAAAUGUUUUUUGUAAGCAUAUUGCAUAGGUCAGAUGAGGGGCAUGCACAUUUUCAACGUUACCAGUCAUUCCUAAAAUACUCUCUUCAAUGGAUGUGCCAGUUUACAUUCCUAGCGGCACCAUAGCCA